RNAcentral lists this ribosomal RNA (626 nucleotides) under uncultured fungus. Its description in RNAcentral is "eukaryotic LSU rRNA". The stretch from base 180 to 333 matches the Rfam family "5.8S ribosomal RNA". The record is from RNAcentral. Lineage: Eukaryota; Fungi.
GUCGUACAGGUUUCCGUAGGUGACCUGCGGAAGGAUCAUUAAUGAAUUUAGAUUGAACCAUAGGCGAAAGCCAGUGGUUCUUCUUUCAUAUCCAUAACACCUGUGCACUGUUGGAUGCUUGCAUCCACUUUUAAACUAAACAUUAUUGUAACAAAUGUAGUCUUAUUAUAACAUAAUAAAACUUUCAACAACGGAUCUCUUGGCUCUCGCAUCGAUGAAGAACGCAGCGAAAUGCGAUAAGUAAUGUGAAUUGCAGAAUUCAGUGAAUCAUCGAAUCUUUGAACGCACCUUGCGCUCCUUGGUAUUCCGAGGAGCAUGCCUGUUUGAGUGUCAUGAAACCCUCAAACCCAAGUUUUGGAUUUCGAUCCAUGCUUGAGUUUGGAUUUGGAUGUUUGCCGGUGAUGAACCGACUCAUCUUAAAAGUAUUAGCUUGGAUCUGUCUAUAUGACUGGUUUGACUUGGCAUAAUAAGUAUUUUGCUGAGGACAUCUUCGGAUGGCCAGGACCUAGACUACUGUCUGCUAACUAAACCAUCACUUUAAGUGCAUCUUUGGAUGUUACUCAUUGUGUAACUUUGACAUCUGGCCUCAAAUCAAGUAGGACUACCCGCUGAACUUAAGCAUAUCA